CCUUGUACACACCGCCCGUCACACCAUGGGAGUUGGUUCUACCUUAAGACGGUGCGCUAACCGCAAGGAAGCAGCCGGCCACGGUAGGGUCAGCGACUGGGGUG
Molecule: ribosomal RNA, 104 nt
Filed under: uncultured bacterium
Lineage: Bacteria
Description: partial 16S ribosomal RNA
Rfam family: Bacterial small subunit ribosomal RNA
Source: RNAcentral